Molecule: ribosomal RNA, 497 nt
Filed under: uncultured bacterium
Lineage: Bacteria
Description: partial 16S ribosomal RNA
Rfam family: Bacterial small subunit ribosomal RNA
Source: RNAcentral
GAUGAACGCUGGCGGCGUGCCUAAUACAUGCAAGUCGAGCGAACAGACGAGGAGCUUGCUCCUCUGACGUUAGCGGCGGACGGGUGAGUAACACGUGGAUAACCUACCUAUAAGACUGGGAUAACUUCGGGAAACCGGAGCUAAUACCGGAUAAUAUAUUGAACCGCAUGGUUCAAUAGUGAAAGACGGUUUUGCUGUCACUUAUAGAUGGAUCCGCGCCGCAUUAGCUAGUUGGUAAGGUAACGGCUUACCAAGGCAACGAUGCGUAGCCGACCUGAGAGGGGGGACGGCCCAACUGGGACUGGGAAACGGGCCCAACACCCAAGGGAGGGAAGAAGAGGGGAACUUCCGCAAUGGGGGAAAGGCUGACGGAGGAACGGCGGGUGAGGGAAGAAGGGUUUCGGGUCGGAAAAAUCUGUUAUUAGGGAAAAAAAAAUGUGUAAGGAAACAUGCCCGUCUUGACGGUACCUAAAAAGAAAGCCCCGGGUAAAUACGUG